UACGGAGGAUGCAAGCGUUAUCCGGAAUGAUUGGGCGUAAAGCGUCCGCAGGUGGCUAUGUAAGUCUGCUGUUAAAGAGUGAGGCUCAACCUCAUAAGAGCAGUGGAAACUACAUGGCUAGAGUGCGUUCGGGGCAGAGGGAAUUCCUGGUGUAGCGGUGAAAUGCGUAGAGAUCAGGAAGAACACCGGUGGCGAAAGCGGCAUCCUGGACCGACAUUGACGCUGAUGAGCGAAAGCUAGGGGAGCAAACGGG
Molecule: ribosomal RNA, 253 nt
Filed under: uncultured bacterium
Lineage: Bacteria
Description: partial 16S ribosomal RNA
Rfam family: Bacterial small subunit ribosomal RNA
Source: RNAcentral